CCCAGACUCCUACGGGAGGCAGCAGUGGGGGAUAUUGCACAAUGGGGGGAACCCUGAUGCAGCGACGCCGCGUGGGUGAAGGAGCGUUUCGGCGCGUAAAGCCCUAUCGGCAGGGAAGAAGGAGGACGGUACCUGACUAAGAAGCCCCGGCUAACUACGUGCCAGCAGCCGCGGUAAUACGUAGGGGGCAAGCGUUAUCCGGAUUUACUGGGUGUAAAGGGGGCGCAGACGGCAGCGCAAGCCAGGAGUGAAAGCCCGGGGCCCAACCCCGGGACUGCUCUUGGAACUGCGCGGCUGGAGUGCAGGAGGGGCAGGCGGAAUUCCUGGUGUAGCGGUGAAAUGCGUAGAUAUCAGGAGGAACACCGGUGGCGAAGGCGGCCUGCUGGACUGCAACUGACGUUGAGGCCCGAAAGCGUGGGGAGCAAACAGGAUUAGAUACCCCGGUACA
This 448-nucleotide ribosomal RNA is filed under the name uncultured bacterium. RNAcentral describes it as "partial 16S ribosomal RNA". It matches the Rfam family "Bacterial small subunit ribosomal RNA", at positions 330 to 794 of the family's 1533-position model. The record is from RNAcentral.